This 1140-nucleotide ribosomal RNA is filed under the name uncultured bacterium. RNAcentral's name for it is "bacterial SSU rRNA". It matches the Rfam family "Bacterial small subunit ribosomal RNA", at positions 353 to 1482 of the family's 1533-position model. The record is from RNAcentral.
AGUCGAGAAUCAUUCACAAUGGACGAAAGUCUGAUGGUGCAACGCCGCGUGGAGGAUGAAGGCCCUAGGGUCGUAAACUCCUGUCAUAUAAGAGUAAGGCAUAACAACUUAAUAUCUGUUAUGUUUGAUAGUAUUAUAAGAGGAAGGGACGGCUAACUUCGUGCCAGCAGCCGCGGUAAUACGAAGGUCCCGAGCGUUAUUCGGAAUCACUGGGCGUAAAGAGUACGUAGGCGGUCAGGUAAGUCAGGUGUGAAAUCCCGGAGCUCAACUCCGGAACUGCAUCCGAUACUGCUUGACUUGAGUAAUGGAGAGGCAGGUGGAAUUCUCGGUGUAGCAGUGAAAUGCGUAGAUAUCGAGAGGAAGACCAAUGGCGAAAGCAGCCUGCUGGACAUUUACUGACGCUGAGGUACGAAGGCUAGGGUAGCGAAAGGGAUUAGAUACCCCUGUAGUCCUAGCAGUAAACGGUGCGCGCUUGGUGUAGGAGGACUCGACCCCUUCUGUGCCGGAGCUAACGCGUUAAGCGCGCCGCCUGGGGAGUACGGUCGCAAGACUAAAACUCAAAGAAAUUGACGGGGACCCGCACAAGCGGUGGAGUAUGUGGCUUAAUUCGAUGCAACGCGAAGAACCUUACCAAGGCUUGACAUGUAUUGCUAAGCACGUGAAAGCGUGUGACCCUUCGGGGACCUUACACAGGUGCUGCAUGGCCGUCGUCAGCUCGUGUCGUGAGAUGUUUGGUUAAGUCCAGCAACGAGCGCAACCCCUGUGAAUAGUUGCCAGCACGUAAUGGUGGGGACUCUAUUCAGACUGCCCGGGUCAACCGGGAGGAAGGUGGGGAUGACGUCAGGUCAGUAUGGCCCUUACGCCUUGGGCUGCACACGUACUACAAUGCCCAGUACAAUGAGAACCGAUACCGCGAGGUGGAGGAAAUCUAUAAAACUGGGCCCAGUUCGGAUUGGAGGCUGCAACUCGCCUCCAUGAAGUUGGAAUCGCUAGUAAUGGCACAUCAGCUACGGUGCCGUGAAUACGUUCCCGGGUCUUGUACACACCGCCCGUCACAUCAUGGAAGCCGAUCGCACCCGAAGUAUCUGCGCUAACUAUUUAUAGAAGCAAGGUCCUAAGGUGUAGUUGGUAACUGGGAUG